This is a non-coding RNA of Phthorimaea operculella (potato tuberworm), 71 nucleotides long. NCBI's taxonomy places the organism in Eukaryota, Metazoa, Arthropoda, Insecta, Lepidoptera, Gelechiidae. The record is from the annotation of a GenBank genome assembly.
AUCCAAUGUGGCGCAGUGGCAGUGUGACUGCUUGCAUAGCAGAAGAUUCCGGGUUCGAUUCCCGGUGGGUC